AGCAGCCGCGGUAAUUCCAGCUCCAAUAGCGUAUAUUAAAGUUGUUGCAGUUAAAAAGCUCGUAGUUGAAUUUCGGGAUUGACACAUCGGUCGUGCCUUAAGGGGUAUGAACUGGUGUAGUCAAUUUCUCACCUUCUGGAGAACCGCGAUGCCCUUAAUUGGGUGCCGCGGGGAACCAGGACCUUUACUUUGAAAAAAUUAGAGUGUUUAAAGCAGGCAUUUUGCUUGAAUACAUUAGCAUGGAAUAAUAAAAUAGGACGGCAUGAUUCUAUUUUGUUGGUUUCUAGGAUCACCGUAAUGAUUAAUAGGGAUAGUUGGGGGCAUUAGUAUUCAAUUGUCAGAGGUGAAAAUUCUUGGACUUUAUUGAAGACUAACUACUGCGAAGGCAUUUGCCAAGGAUGUUUUCAUUAAUCAAGAACGAAAGUUAGGGGAUCGAAGACGAUCAGAUACCGUCGUAGUCUUAACCAUAAACUAUGCCGACUAGGAAUCAGACGAUGUUAAUUUUUAAUGUACUCGUUUG
This 520-nucleotide unclassified non-coding RNA is filed under the name uncultured Entrophospora. RNAcentral's name for it is "SSU rRNA". It matches the Rfam family "Eukaryotic small subunit ribosomal RNA", at positions 569 to 1082 of the family's 1831-position model. The record is from RNAcentral. Lineage: Eukaryota; Fungi; Glomeromycota; Glomeromycetes; Entrophosporales; Entrophosporaceae.